CCUACGGGAGGCAGCAGUGGGGAAUAUUGCACAAUGGGGGAAACCCUGAUGCAGCGACGCCGCGUGAGUGAAGAAGUAUUUCGGCAUGUAAAGCUCUAUCAGCAGUGAAGAAAAUUACGGUACCUGACUAAGAAGCCCCGGCUAACUACGUGCCAGCAGCCGCGGUAAUACGUAGGGGGCAAGCGUUAUCCGGAUUUAAUGGGUGUAAAGGGAGCGUAGACGGCUCAACAAGUCUGAAGUGAAAGCCCAGGGCUCAACCUGCGGACUGCUUUUGAAACUGAUUAGCUAGAGUGCAGGAGAGGUAAGUGGAAUUCCUAGUGUAGCGGUGAAAUGCGUAGAUAUUAGGAGGAACACCAGUGGCGAAGGCGGCUUACUGGACUGUAACUGACGUUGAGGCUCGAAAGCGUGGGGAGCAAACAGGAUUAGAUACCCUAGUAGUC
RNAcentral lists this ribosomal RNA (440 nucleotides) under uncultured bacterium. RNAcentral describes it as "partial 16S ribosomal RNA". It matches the Rfam family "Bacterial small subunit ribosomal RNA", at positions 338 to 795 of the family's 1533-position model. The record is from RNAcentral.